CGCCAGGGGGCCCCUCCUUCUGGCCGGGUAAAGGUCAGGUGCCCGCUGCGGAGAGCGCUGAGGUCUCACGAGUUUGAAUCCCGCUCAGGUUGUCUGGUCCUCAACUUUCCUCUCCGUGAAUUUCAGUCGGUGAAGUAAAUCAAACAAUGUGGGAGAAGGGCGGGGCUUCAAAAAGAAUGCCUCGUGACAUCAUCUAAUCUCUCUCAGCCUCAGUGUCCCCGACCCAGGAAAUGAGACAGUGCAACCUACAGAGGGCACCAGAAGCACCGACGAGGACCACAGAGCGUUACCCUGGCCUCCGGAGCUCCAGGCUCCUCACGGGUGAAACGAGGCCUAAAGAGCGUUUUUACAAGUGACAACAGAGACGCUGUCAUCUGGGGGCGGGGGACUGAAGGCGAUGACUCAGGUAUUAAAGCGUUUAAGGUUCCGAAGCGAGCCUCAGUUUCCCCAUCUCCGGAAUCGGCCCGAGGCCGUCAGCGAGGACCCCGAUCCGGCCUCGCACACAGUAGGGACACGGACUGGGGGGAAUAUAGACGCCCCGCGUCCCCCCCCACCCCGCACGGGGCUGUCCCGCAGCACGCCCAAGGUGAGUGUCCCUGUCACCACUCCUGCCCCUGCGCUCACGCAGGCCUCCGGGGCCCCGUUCGCAGCCCCGAGGCCCCAGCCUCCCAGGCCCCUGCCUUGCUCUGCCGCCUCCAGCGGGCAGCGAGCCCCGGGGCACUCACCGGCUUCCAGGGCCGUCCCGAGGCUUCGGCCUGAGGAGAAAGAGGGGCGGGCCCCUCCGGAAAGCCCCGCCCACACGAGCGCAGCGCGGGCCAAUCCGCCUCCGCUGCGGCAAGCCACGGCCCCGCCCAUGGGGGGCGCGCCGCCAAUCAAGAGAAGCACCUGGCAGAAGAAGCCAAUCAGAAGUUGUCGGAGUGUGCCAGCCGUGGGAAAAGAACCGCGCCUGAGCUCUGAGCUUGGCGGUGCGGUUGUGGGCGGGACCCGAGGUCUGACGAGCAGCGAGUUCGACCAAUGAUCAGGCGCGGGGGGCGGCCUGGGGCGGGAGGCCCAAGGGACUAGGGUGAAUGGGCCGCUUUGUAAGCGAGGAAUGAAUGGGGGCCUUUGUGAGGGCCCGCGUGUGGGGGGGCGGCUGGAGGCCGGAAUGCCUGGGUCCCCGGGGAGCUGGCGGGCAGGAGAGACGGGAAAGAGAAUUCACUUUUGUAGAACACCGACCGCGUACCAGGCACUCUCCCGGGCUCUCACCCACAGGGGAGGUGUGGGCGAUACUGUCAGUAAUAACAAUCCUGUACUGAGUGCCCGAUGUAUGCCCAGGAGCUGGGCUAAGCGCUUUACCUGCAUGAUUUCAUUUAAUCCUUACAACUAGCAUUUGAAAUGGGUGUUAUUAAGAUUUUCAUCUUUCAGAUGAGGUAAACCGAAGCUUAGAAAGAGGGUGUUAAUUGCGGAAAGUCACAGAGCUGGCAGGUGGAAGAACAAGAACUCGGAUCUCACUAAAUCUGACUCCAGAAUUUCUGCUCUUAACCACUAUGCUACACCCAAAUGUUGGUUAGUGCUUCCCAGCUUACAAAUGGAAAAACUGAAGCGACUUCCCAAACUCACAAAGAAAAUGUUCUGCUGAACCCUGAGGUGCUGGCCAUGUCUAAAGUUCACCUUUUGCUGGUGAGCAGUGCACCAUUGGUCUUUGAGGUGUAUCCCCAUUAUACAGGUGUACCCAGAGUCUCCAAGAGGGACAAGCAGCUGGGGUGGGAACUGGGAGCUGCAUGUCAAUCAAGCCCCAGCCUGGCAGCCUGGCUCUGCUGCUUACCAGCUGUGUGGGCCUGGUUCAGUUGCUGGCCUUUUUUGAGAUUGCAUUUAUUUCUGCAUCUAUAAAAUGAGGAUGAUGGCCUCUUUGCCUCCACUCUGACAAUCCCCAAACACACAGACUGUCUACUGCCAAUGGGAUCCUGUUAAAUUUUAUUCUGACUGCUCUCCUGCUCUUUUUAGAAUCUUUCAUGGCUCCAUCUCAGAGUAAAAAAGCCCAUGUCCACACCACAGUCCACAGAGGCCUGCAUGAUGGGCCCAGCCCCCCACCCCUGGGGGUCUGUCUGAUCUCAUCUCCCCUUCAUUGGGCUCCAGCCACACUGGCCUUCUGGCUUUUCCUCAGUUCCUCAGACACUCCCAGGCAUGGGUCAGGCUCAGGACCUUUGCAUUUGCUCUUCCUUCUACCAGGAAUGCAUUUUCCCCAGGUUGUGCAUGGCUGCAUCCCUCUCACAUUGUCACAUCUGCUCCAACAUCACCUCCCUCAGGAGGUCUUUUCUGACCAUUCUGUCGGAAGUUCCCCUAGUCACCCUCUCUCCCUCUGACCCUUCUCUGUUUCAGCUCAUGAUUCUUGGAGAGUUUGCUUUUUUGUCUAUCUGUUUAUCAUCUCUUUCCCCACUAAAAUGUAAGUUCCAUAAGGGCAUGAUUUGUUCAGUGCUGGAUUUUCAGGGCCUAUCAUACAGUAGGCGCUCACUAAGUGUUUGUUGAAUUAAUGCUAACAAGUUUUUUGUAUUGUGUGAAUUCAAUGAGUCAAUGCAUACAGAGUUGAUGCAUUGAGAAAAGGCAAAAUAAACAGAGAAUUAUUAU
Long non-coding RNA from Phyllostomus discolor (pale spear-nosed bat), 2604 nucleotides. RefSeq lists it as uncharacterized. The record is from RefSeq and is a predicted model, not a curated record. Lineage: Eukaryota; Metazoa; Chordata; Mammalia; Chiroptera; Phyllostomidae. The transcript has 2 exons.